GUGUGCUGUAAGGAAGCCAAAGAUGCAGCUUCUGAUUUGAAGUUUUCAAUCAACGCUGGAGACGAAUCUUCACGAAGUGUCCUUAUUGCUACUGGAACAACUACCCCUUGAGGAUAGUGGAUAAGUUUACCCUGUUUUUCAGAGAUAACAUCGGACAGUUGAUUCAAUUGGUUUGAAGGAGUUGGACUUUGAGGAUUUACUGUCUCGGAGUAACGAUUAGGAUCAUAUUCAACCCACAAUGGAGCAGGACUUCGUUUACAUAAAACAGGAGAAAUAGGUGAAGAGUAUUGAGCAGUUCGAAGUGCUGUUGUCAUGUAACUGGCAACACUUGAUUUACGGUUUAAAACUUGACGAUAGAUGAUCACAAUGAAUAUUAUCAAGAAACCACAAAUGGCUGCCAAUAUUGGUGUUAGUAGGAAAUAUAGACGGCACCAUGGUUGAGCUUCAAUUCCAUCAGGAUUUCGGCAAUAAUUAUGGCCUCCAAUCAAUUCUUCAUAGUGAAUUGUAUUAUAACCAACGCUCCAAGGAAGGCAUUUGCGUCCAGAAGUACUGUGAUCAACUAUUCCACGAUACUCUCGUCCAUUUUCACUGAAGCAUACUUGAGCAUCUAGAUGAAUAUAGACAGAAAAGGAAUUAAUCAAUAAAACCAAUAUAAGAAUAAAAAGGUCACUAUUUGCUAAACUAUAAUGAGCUUCUGAAGAAGUUUUAUCAAUAUCAUAGAAAUGUUCAACAAGCAACUUAUUUGAUGACGAUGUCAACAAGAAAAUCAAGUUUAUGUUACAGUAUUAUUGGAAUAAUAUGCUCAACAUUUUAUCAUGAAACUUUUCACCAUCAUCAUCUCAUUCUGUAUUGCAAAAAUGUGUGGUUACCCUUAAUAGUUGAAAGAUAUAAACUUGACUGUUUAUAUUAAAGAUUCCGUAAAGAUUUGAAUUUUUUACUCAAAAUUUAACUCUAACUCCCUUUUUUCUGCAAUUUCCUCAGGCUAUUACUAUCAAUUUCAACUGUACUCUUGAGACGAAACCAUUUGACAAGAGCAUAACCUUUUUACAUGGAGUAAAGAAAUCCAGCCAAGAUUGAUGCAUUUUUUUCUUGUUCAAGCAUUUCUAGUUACUCAUUAUACAGGGUUGCAACCAGAUACAUGGAGUGGGUUCAGAAAACUAUGACCAUAAAUGAAAUUAACUCAAUUUCUUAACCUCAGGAAAUGAAGUUAACAAGUAUUUAAAGCUGGUUGAAUAAUUUGCCAUCAGUUUGAUCUACAAAAUGACUUCACAUCUCAGCGUUUAUAAUACAACAAGAAUUUGGUUUGAAAGUGUUUUAAAUUUCUCAAUUUAAUCUAUACAUUUUGGCUGCCUUGUUCAGAGUUUGUUGGAAAAUUUCAACAGAGGCUGACUUUUGGUGAUAUCAGUUUCAAAAAAUAUUCAUGUAAAUAUUGUAUGUUUACUGAAGAAAGGGAAACGAGUAAAAAAAUCUCACCAAAGCCAAUAUCGAAAUCAAAAAUAUCAAAACAAAUCAAAUAAUCUCCAAGGGUAUUAUUAGCAGUAAAAAUGCAAUUUCAUAUCAAGUUUCUCGUUUUAAUGUAAUAACCAUGAAAUGAGCAUUUUUUUCUCCGACACUAAUAUUUUCUUAUUUUUCUUUCUCAACAAAAUUCAGGGGCAAUUUGGGAACAUGAGUUUAAAAUGACUCGGAAAAGAUGAAUCGUUCAAAUAAAGUGAUAAAAAGGAUGGAAGAUUAAAUUUUGUUUUUCAUACCUUUAAGAGGACGAACUGAAGAUGGCACUCCAAGUUGAACACAUUCAGAAUCACCAGGAGCUCCAAGAAUGGGUAAAUUUGUACACUUGGGCAACAAAUUGGCGUUAAUUACUGGUAUAUUUCGAGCCAUUGAAUACUCUUUUCGGCAUAUUGAACUUUCCAAGAUUUCACAUUCAUCUCGACAAAUCUGGUAAUAAUGAUUGGAGGUGAGGACAAAAGAGCCACAAAAGUAAUGAAAAAGAUGAAUUAUUAUGUGAAAUUUAUAAUAUAUUUGUUAUCAAAGGCCAGAUUUGAAUCAGAUGCUUUGAUAGUCACAGGGUUUAGAUAAGGUAAAAUGCCCGUGAAAACCUGAAAAACAUUUAACAUUGAUUCCUCUGGUGAAUCCUCUAAAUUAUAUCAAUUCAUUUUAUUGUGGCCAUUGCAGCAGCAUUGGAGUUAUAUCUCUCCUCGAUUAACUGGCUGGAUCAAGAAUGUAUUAAGCUGGACCAUGGUUGGAACCAAGAAUUCCAAGUUUCUACUCGUUGGAUUGACUGUGCAAAAAUAAUGCAGUUCAAUAGAUUCUAGACUAAUACUGGUUUAAAAUGAAGUCUACUUUGGUUGUUCUUGUCCAAGACUUAAGAUCUCCAUCGUUUCUACCCUAAUAACCAGGAUUAUUCUUGUCACAAUAUGCUUUCCAUCUUAACAACAAGUGUUCCUACAUUCCAUGUUACUGUUUACUCUCAAGUCUGAUGAUUGAAUGGACUUUAAUAUAUUUACGUACUCCAUGUGAUCCAGGAAAUCUGUCUUCACUCAUGAUGUACACUUUUGGAGUAUUAGACAAUAUUUACAAGGGAUUUAAAGACAAGUUGUUAAUCACUAACCUUUCGUAUUCCCAAUUGGCCUGAUGGUUCAGUGCGGCAAACAGGAAAAUUAUAAAAGCAAACGGAUGAUAUUGCAAAUCGGUGGCAUUGAUGUGAAAUUUGGUGUGAUGUUGCUAUCAUUUCAAAGAGAACAGCCAAAUUUUCUUCCAAAAUUUCUUGGCUUAUUUCCGAUUCUAAAUAGAUACUUCGAUUACCAAUAAACUGUGAACACAAUUUGCCAACAUAAAGGCUACACUUUGGUCCUGAACGAGACUCUGAGGAUGAUGAUGAUGACAAUGCUGGUGACAGUGGAAAUGUUGAUGGUGAUGAUGGUGGUGAUAAAGUUGAUGAUGAAGGCAAAAUGGCUUUCGAUGAGCUACAAAUAACAAGAGGAAAAAGGAGAAACAUAUAUUAUAGUUAUAAUAUGGAAACUGUUUUUUGCUUUCAUUUGCAACCAUUUUCAUGGUGAAAAUGGAUAAAACAUCAAUUUGAUUGAGCGGAAACAUUUUAAAGUAAAAAAGAGAGAGAGAGGAAAAACAAGAAAAAUUGUUGCAAAUUUGUGAUUUGAAAAUAUUGUUGAGAAAAUUCGCUGUUCAAAAGUCUCCUGAAUUUUCACGAGCAGAGGAAAAAGUAGAUGAUUUGAAAUUAAUAGUAAACCUUUUCUUAUCAGAGGAACCAUUAAUCAUCUGGAAAACCUUUCAUAUUUUCCUCUCAUAAUCAAUUGUAAUAAUAUUCACGUAAACAUCCAAAACAGUAUUUCAAUGAUGAAUUAAUGUAAUCAUCAUCAGCAUCAUCAUCAUCUUGAUCGCUUUCAACAGGAACAAUUUAUAAUAAUUAACGGGACAACCUGAAUGCCAACCCUUGAUUAACAACCUCUAAUGAAAGUUACUUCAUCCAUUUUACUGUAUUUUAUGUAAUUAACUUUUGUUAUCAUUAACACUGAUUUAUGUUGGAUUAAAAGUGAUUAAAAGGUUUUCGCCUGAAUUAAAA
Non-coding RNA from Tetranychus urticae (two-spotted spider mite), 3577 nucleotides. Lineage: Eukaryota; Metazoa; Arthropoda; Arachnida; Trombidiformes; Tetranychidae. The record is from RefSeq and is a predicted model, not a curated record.